This 425-nucleotide ribosomal RNA is filed under the name uncultured bacterium. Its description in RNAcentral is "partial 16S ribosomal RNA". It matches the Rfam family "Bacterial small subunit ribosomal RNA", at positions 354 to 796 of the family's 1533-position model. The record is from RNAcentral.
GUGGGGAAUCUUGCGCAAUGGGCGAAAGCCUGACGCAGCCAUGCCGCGUGAAUGAUGAAGGUCUUAGGAUUGUAAAAUUCUUUCACCGGGGACGAUAAUGACGGUACCCGGAGAAGAAGCUCCGGCUAACUUCGUGCCAGCAGCCGCGGUAAUACGAAGGGGGCUAGCGAUGCUCGGAAUUACUGGGCGUAAAGGGCGCGUAGGCGGACAGCUUAGUCAGAGGUGAAAGCCCAGGGCUCAACCUUGGAAUUGCCUUUGAUACUGGCUGUCUUGAGUUUGGGAGAGGUGAGUGGAACUCCGAGUGUAGAGGUGAAAUUCGUAGAUAUUCGGAAGAACACCAGUGGCGAAGGCGACUCACUGGCCCAAUACUGACGCUGAGGCGCGAAAGCGUGGGGAGCAAACAGGAUUAGAUACCCUUGUAGUCC